GGGGUUGUGGCUCAGUGGUAGAGUGCUUGCCGAGCAUAUAUGAGGUACUGGGUUGGAUCCUCAGCACCACA
RNAcentral lists this transfer RNA (71 nucleotides) under Marmota monax (woodchuck). RNAcentral's name for it is "tRNA.Ala". The record is from RNAcentral. Lineage: Eukaryota; Metazoa; Chordata; Mammalia; Rodentia; Sciuridae.